UCGAACGAACUCUGGUAUUGAUUGGUGCUUGCAUCAUGAUUUACAUUUGCGUGAGUGGCGAACUGGUGAGUAACACGUGGGAAACCUGCCCAGAAGCGGGGGGUAACACCUGGAAACAGAUGCUAAUACCGCAUAACAACUUGGACCGCAUGGUCCGAGCUUGAAAGAUGGCUUCGGCUAUCACUUUUGGAUGGUCCCGCGGCGUAUUAGCUAGAUGGUGGGGUAACUGCUCACCAUGGCGAUGAUACGUAGCCGACCUGAGAGGGUAAUCGGCCACAUUGGGACUGAGACACGGCCCAAACUCCUACGGGAGGCAGCAGUAGGGAAUCUUCCACAAUGGACGAAAGUCUGAUGGAGCAACGCCGCGUGAGUGAAGAAGGGUUUCGGCUCGUAAAACCCUGUUGUUAAAGAAGAACAUAUCUGAGAGUAACUGUUCAGGUAUUGACGGUAUUUAACCAGAAAGCCACGGCUAACUACGUGCCAGCAGCCGCGGUAAUACGUAGGUGGCAAGCGUUGUCCGGAUUUAUUGGGCGUAAAGCGAGCGCAGGCGGUUUUUUAAGUCUGAUGUGAAAGCCUUCGGCUCAACCGAAGAAGUGCAUCGGAAACUGGGAAACUUGAGUGCAGAAGAGGACAGUGGAACUCCAUGUGUAGCGGUGAAAUGCGUAGAUAUAUGGAAGAACACCAGUGGCGAAGGCGGCUGUCUGGUCUGUAACUGACGCUGAGGCUCGAAAGUAUGGGUAGCAAACAGGAUUAGAUACCCUGGUAGUCCAUACCGUAAACGAUGAAUGCUAAGUGUUGGAGGGUUUCCGCCCUUCAGUGCUGC
Molecule: ribosomal RNA, 823 nt
Filed under: uncultured bacterium
Lineage: Bacteria
Description: bacterial SSU rRNA
Rfam family: Bacterial small subunit ribosomal RNA
Source: RNAcentral